GGGCGGGUAGCGUAGUGGUCAGCGCAUUCCUAAGCGUUUCAGCGUUUUUGUGUUUUCUUCAUCAUCUUCUCUCUCCAGCGUUUAGCGAAAAGACCUGGGUUCGAAUCCCAGCCCGCCCA
Echria macrotheca is the source of this 119-nucleotide non-coding RNA. The record is from the annotation of a GenBank genome assembly. NCBI's taxonomy places the organism in Eukaryota, Fungi, Ascomycota, Sordariomycetes, Sordariales, Schizotheciaceae.